CACGUAGGAGGCAAACGUUAUCCGGAUUUACUGGGCGUAAAGCGCGCGUAGGUGGUUCGUUAAGUUAGGAGUGAAAGCCCCGGGCUCAACCUGGGAAUUGCUUCUAAAACUGGCGAGCUAGAGUAUGGUAGAGGGUGGUGGAAUUUCCUGUGUAGCGGUGAAAUGCGUAGAUAUAGGAAGGAACAUCAGUGGCGAAGGCGACCACCUGGACUGAUACUGACACUGAGGUGCGAAAGCGUGGGGAGCAAACAGGAUUAGAUACCCGCGUAGUCCCUGA
Molecule: ribosomal RNA, 277 nt
Filed under: uncultured prokaryote
Description: partial 16S ribosomal RNA
Rfam family: Bacterial small subunit ribosomal RNA
Source: RNAcentral